RNAcentral lists this ribosomal RNA (254 nucleotides) under uncultured bacterium. RNAcentral describes it as "partial 16S ribosomal RNA". It matches the Rfam family "Bacterial small subunit ribosomal RNA", at positions 524 to 776 of the family's 1533-position model. The record is from RNAcentral.
UACGUAGGGUGCGAGCGUUGUUCGGAUUUACUGGGCGUAAAGGGCGCGUAGGCGGUCAGCACAAGUCAGUUGUGAAAUCUCCGGGCUUAACUCGGAAAGGUCAACUGAUACUGUGCGACUAGAGUGCAGAAGGGGCAACUGGAAUUCUCGGUGUAGCGGUGAAAUGCGUAGAUAUCGAGAGGAACACCUGCGGCGAAGGCGGGUUGCUGGGCUGACACUGACGCUGAUGCGCGAAAGCCAGGGGAGCGAACGGG